AAAAAAGAGAGAUUGAUAAUUUUGAGUUAUCCAUGCUCUGUCCUUACUGUUACAAGUUGACUGGUUAAACGACUUCUUUCUUGGCAUAAUAGCCAUCCCAAGUUUGGGUUUGUGGGAGUCCUGAAGUGAGAAAGUUCUGACAUUGGCUCUUUCUGGGUGCCAGCAUUAUUAAAGUCUUGUAAUCUAUAGUUUUCACUCUUCCUUCCCAACACUGGAGCAACAUUCAGAGGCCCAUUCCCCAGGAAAACCCUCCCUUUCCUUUGCCCACAGUUCCAAGAUGAGAUGGGAUUCUCCAACAUGGAAGAUGAUGGCCCAGAAGAGGAGGAGCGUGUGGCUGAGCCUCGUCCUAACUUUAACACCCCUCAAGCUCUACGGUUUGAGGAACCACUGGCCAACCUGUUAAAUGAACAACAUCGGACAGUGAAGGAGCUAUUUGAACAGCUGAAGAUGAAGAAAUCUUCAGCCAAACAGCUGCAGGAAGUAGAGAAGGUUAAACCCCAGAGUGAGAAAGUUCAUCAGACUCUGAUUCUGGACCCAGCACAGAGGAAGAGACUCCAGCAGCAGAUGCAGCAGCACGUUCAGCUCUUGACCCAAAUCCACCUUCUUGCCACCUGCAACCCCAAUCUCAAUCCGGAGGCCAGUACCACCAGGAUAUUUCUU
RNAcentral lists this small RNA (660 nucleotides) under Pongo abelii (Sumatran orangutan). Its description in RNAcentral is "processed transcript". The record is from RNAcentral. Lineage: Eukaryota; Metazoa; Chordata; Mammalia; Primates; Hominidae.